This 656-nucleotide ribosomal RNA is filed under the name uncultured fungus. RNAcentral describes it as "eukaryotic LSU rRNA". It matches the Rfam family "Eukaryotic large subunit ribosomal RNA", at positions 24 to 664 of the family's 3401-position model. Lineage: Eukaryota; Fungi. The record is from RNAcentral.
CCCGCUGAACUUAAGCAUAUCAAUAAGCGGAGGAAAAGAAACUAACAAGGAUUCCCCUAGUAACUGCGAGUGAAGAGGGAAAAGCUCAAAUUUAAAAUCUGUUAGUCUUUGGCUGACCGAGUUGUAAAUUCGAGAAGUGUUAUCGGUGCUGGCCUGUGCAUAAGUCUCUUGGAAAAGAGCAUCAUAGAGGGUGACAAUCCCGUCUUUGGUACAGAGCUCCAGGGCUUCCAUGAUACACUCUCAAUGAGUCGAGUUGUUUGGGAAUGCAGCUCUAAAUGGGUGGUAAAUUCCAUCUAAAGCUAAAUAUUGGCGAGAAACCGAUAGCGAACAAGUACCGUGAGGGAAAGAUGAAAAGAACUUUGAAAAGAGAGUUAAACAGUACGUGAAAUUGUUGAAAGGGAAACGCUUGAAGUCAGUCGUGUCCUUCAGAAAUCAACCUGACUCUGGUCUGGCUUAUUUUCUGUUGGAUGGGCCAGCAUCAAUUUUGACCAUUGGAUAAAGGCCUUGGGAAAGUGGCAUCUCCGGAUGUGUUAUAGCCCAAGGACCACAUACAGUGGUUGGGAUUGAGGAACUCAGUGUGAAUUUGGGGUCUUGACCCACAACACGCACUUAGGAUGCUGGCAUAAUGGCUUUAAUCGACCCGUCUUGAAACACGG